This is an RNA transcript of Xenopus laevis (African clawed frog), 5732 nucleotides long. It is a transcript of the gene named furin, paired basic amino acid cleaving enzyme L homeolog, with no coding region annotated. The transcript has 17 exons. The record is from RefSeq and is a predicted model, not a curated record. Lineage: Eukaryota; Metazoa; Chordata; Amphibia; Anura; Pipidae.
UCUCGCGAGAUGAGCUAUUUGACAUCGGUACUAGGUGUCCGGCGGGAGGCAAGAAGCUGGAUAUUAACGGCGUUGCGGAACGUUUACGCAGCGAUCCGGGCUUGCGGGUUAUGUUGAGAAAAUCGGAACUAUCCCGCGAAGGGCGGGGCUUCUGAGCGAUAUAAAUUUGAACCAAAGUCCAUCCUGCAAGAUUCCUCGCGUGGAAUGAGUUGGUAAAAGUGUUCCGUUUUAUCUAUGGAAUAUAUUUUGCAUUAAGAAAGAAAACUGUGUGGGACCCAGGAUUCUUUUUUUCUCUGUUAAAAGCUGGUUAUUAGCUAGCCCAGGAACCAAAUUUAUUCCCAUGGAUCUGUCGCCCAGUUUGCUGCUAAUGUUAUGGACUUUGUUGAGUGUGCUAUUCAAGGAGAUUACUGGACACAAAGUGUAUACAAACACGUGGGCAGUUCAUAUAUCUGGAGGCUCUGCUGAAGCUGACAGACUAUCCAGGAAAUAUGGAUUCAUUAACCAUGGGCAGAUUUUUGAAGACCAUUAUCAUUUCUCUCACCGAGCUGUGAUGAAAAGGUCAUUGACCCCCAAGAGAACUAGACAAGUCUUGUUAAAGAGAGAGCCUCAGGUGCACUGGUUGGAGCAGCAAGUGGCAAAAAAAAGAAAAAAGAGAGAUAUUUUUAUAGAUCCAACAGAUCCCAAAUUUAUGCAGCAGUGGUACCUGCUUGAUACAAACCGACACGAUCUGCAUGUGAAGGAGGCUUGGGAGCAAGGCUUUACUGGCAAAGGCAUUGUGGUCUCUAUUCUUGAUGACGGUAUUGAAAAGAACCACCCAGAUCUGCAAGCUAAUUAUGAUCCGGCUGCUAGCUAUGAUGUCAAUGACCAAGAUCCAGAUCCUCAGCCUAGAUAUACUCAGCUGAAUGAUAACAGGCAUGGUACUCGCUGUGCAGGAGAGGUGGCAGCAGUGGCAAAUAAUGACAUCUGUGGUGUUGGAAUAGCAUAUAAUGCAAAUAUUGGAGGAGUGCGAAUGCUGGACGGAGAAGUUACUGAUGCCGUGGAAGCAAGGUCCUUAGGACUCAAUCCUAACCACAUCCACAUCUAUAGUGCCAGCUGGGGACCAGAAGAUGAUGGAAAAACUGUGGAUGGGCCAGCAAAGUUGGCCGAAGAGGCUUUUUAUAGAGGAGUUACACAGGGUCGUGGAGGCCUGGGCUCCAUAUAUGUUUGGGCUUCCGGCAAUGGUGGCAGACAACAUGACAGCUGUAACUGUGAUGGCUACACCAACAGUAUCUACACCCUUUCUAUUAGCAGCACCACCCAGACGGGAAAUGUUCCUUGGUACAGUGAGGCAUGUUCUUCCACUCUUGCCACAACUUACAGCAGUGGCAACCAGAACGAGAAGCAAAUUGUUACGACAGAUCUGAGACAGAAGUGCACAGACUCUCACACUGGGACGUCGGCAUCAGCACCGCUGGCUGCAGGAAUCAUCGCUCUCGCUCUGGAAGCAAAUAAAAAUCUUACUUGGAGAGACAUGCAGCAUCUGGUUGUACAGACAUCAAACCCAGCUAGCCUGAAUGCUAAUGACUGGAUUACCAAUGGUGUUGGGCGCAAAGUGAGUCAUUCAUACGGAUAUGGUCUGCUGGAUGCUGGAGCCAUGGUGGCGAUGGCCAAGAACUGGGUCACCGUUGGACCACAAAGAAAAUAUGUCAUUGACAUUCUCAGCGAGCCCAAGGACAUUGGGAAACGUUUGGAAGUCAGGCGCAAGGUAGAGCCCUGUGCAGGGAUGUCCAAUUACAUCAGCACCUUGGAACAUGUUCAGGCAAGGCUCAGCUUGUCCUACAAUUGCAGAGGAGACCUGGCCAUCUAUUUAACCAGCCCAAUGGGCACCCGCUCUUGCUUGUUGGCACCCAGACUCCAUGAUUACUCAGCAGAUGGCUUCAAUGAUUGGUCCUUCAUGACAACACAUUCAUGGGAUGAGGAUCCUGCAGGAGAGUGGGUUUUGGAAAUUGAAAAUGUCAGCAAAAACAAUAAUUACGGAACACUUACCCAGUUUGUCUUGGUGUUGUAUGGAACUGCAUCCGAAACUCCGGGCCUCUCCAGGCAGUUUGAUGGGGAUGGAUACAGAAAUGUGGCCUCCAGCCAGUCUUGCAUUGUGUGUGAAGAAGGCUACUUCCUUCAUCAAAAGAGCUGCAUAAAAUCUUGCCCAUCGGGCUUCACGUCCAGUAUCCAGAAUAUGCACUACACCCUUGACAACAACAUAGAGCCUCUCCUGGUUAAUGUGUGCGUGCCGUGCCAUCCUUCCUGUGCCACGUGCAAAGGCACCACAAUCAACGACUGCCUAACAUGUCCUGCACACUCACACUACAACCUGGUGGACUAUAGCUGCACUCACCAGACUCAAAGGAGCAGAGAAUCUCCCACAUUAAAAGACUCUGGUCAUGACUAUAUUUCCGGGACCUCUAAUCUGCCAUUUAUCGUGGCCAUCCUGAGCUGCUUAUUCAUAAUCGUGGUCUUUGGUAGUAUAUUCCUCUUCCUUCAGCUGCGAUCUGGGGGAGUCCUUGGUAGAAAGAAGUUGUACAUGUUGGACAGCGGCAUUAUCUCCUACAAGGGCAUCCCCUCAGGGGUGUGGCAAGAAGAGGGGUUUUCAGAGUCUGAAAUAGAAGAGACUGGUGCACACAGUGAGAGAAAAGCUUUCAUAAAGCAACAGAGCACCCUUUGAUGAUUAUGAUCACUUUCCUUCGCCACUCACCAAAACGUUUUGCCAGAUCCCUUUUUACCUAUAUUUUAAACACUGGACGUGUCCACGUAGAUACAAGGUAAACGGCAAAAUGUUGGCUCCAGCAAGUUCUUAAACCUGUUGCCAUAGGCAAUACCAAAACAUUUUGCUUUUUCUUCCUUCUUAAAUCAUUGUAUUGUCGCUAUUUUUUAACCUGACGGUGCCUGGCCCUUUUUCAUCAUGUGGUCUUAUGAUUAUUAUUUUUUUAAAUUUAUUAUUUUGCCCCACUGUCAGUUAUCAUUUUGUCAAUUAACCCGUUCAGUGGCAGAAUGCCUUUUUAAUGGCCAUGUGACAGGUUUAAGAUCUGAUUGUGCAUAUCCGAAAUGAUUUAAUGUAGAGCACAUAUUUAAAGGACCAUCGGAUACCAUUGAUGAACUGGAAGAACCGGUUGCCCCUCUAAACAAUUUUAAAAGUAGAUUUCUUUACAGAACAUCAGUUUCAGACAUGAAUAAUAAUGUAGGUAACCAAAGCCAUUUCAUGUAUAUUGGUGAGAUAGUCUGACCUAAAGGGAAUCCAGGUGUAUGAUGAAUGCACCCUACCCACCCAGCUUAUUGGAGAGUUCUUGGAUUUUCAUUGAGGAGGUUCAGUUCUUUCAGUACAGGAGUGACUGCAUUUUCUAGAGAUCCAUGGAUUGUGACAGCAGUGUUACUGUUGGUGUUAAUUAUUUUAAUUAUUCAUUAUUUUUUAUUCCUGGGCAAGACUACAAGUCAGCUGUUAGCUGCUAAAUGGAAAGCUGGAAGUGUUAAUAUGACAGGGAAAGUGCAUGCGGUAUGAUUUAAUUGCAUUAGCUCAUUGUCUGUCCAUAUGAAAAUCUGUCUGUCAGCCUCAAUAGUAUUGGCCACAGAGAUUACUAUGUGCCGCCCCACAGUGGAUAGAAAAUGACAUAGUGAGAUUGCAGUUAGCAGAAACAGAAUUAUAGCUUCUGUGGGAAUAACACUGACCAUACGUGACUAGAUCUAAACAGGCAGACGUAGGCUAAUUUCAACCAUAUUACCUAGCCACCUGGGCACGUAAGGUCAGUUUAGGGGGUGGGCAUUCAGAAUUAUAAUCCCCUAGUGAAUCAAGAAUUAUCUUGUCGGGCGCCUCCUGUUCUAGUUUAUAUGGUGGUAAGCCUGAACGGAACAGGACAAAGAUGGAUAUAUAUAUAUAUAGGCACCAUUAUUAUCUCAUGCAGUAUCUGUAUUUGCACCUGGGCCUAUUGCUUGGGCUACUGUGAUGGUUGCCUUGUUUAUGGCCACCUUAAUAAAUACAAGCUAUGUUUGUAUAGCAAUGGGCUGGAAGUAAAAUGUGCACAAGUAUUCAGUGCCGUAUAGUGUUGCAAGACUUGCUAGUUAUUAUCAGAUGGUGGAAGUCAGGUUUGCACAAAUGAAUGGAACAAUCAAAGGAAGUCAAACAUAUUACAAGCCCAUCAAGCACAGCUCGGCCUGUGUAAGCCAAUAUGAUUGUGUAAUAUUUACCAUAAAUUUCCUAAUUGUUAUUUCUUGUGAGGAUUCUUUAGUCAGAAUUUCAUCAAAAUAGCUUGAGCAAUAGGGAUUGCCAGCGCCUCCCACAGAUUCAUGUUGUUUCAAAACUGUGUAGAAAGUGAGUUGCCUCUAGUGCUUUUGUGCAAUAAAUGAAGAACCUGCAGAAACUGUGAAGAUAUGAUGUGAACCUUCAGAUGUCUCAGAAGCCAUGGUUGGAGCUGGGGCCAGUGGGAUCACAUGUUCACCAUUAUUGGAUUUAGACAAAUCUGUCCGAUAUAUUGGCUUGGCAUGGAUUAUUUAAUGAUUUUACAGGCAAAUAUUAAGAAUACCUAGUGCACAGACUAUCAUACUGUGGCUUUGUUAAGGCAUAUUCUUAGAUAACAUUACCACUUGGUGUUAGAGCUCCCAGUACAGGUAGCCAGUCUAUGCUUGGGACUUGAUCCAGAUAAGGAAUCUUUCCAUAAUUUGGAUCACCAUACAUUGUCUGCUAAAAACAUUAAAGAAACCCAAUAGUUUCUUCACCAAUAAAGAUUUAAUGCAGCUUAAGUUACCAUCAAGUACAAAGUACUGAGAAAAGGAAUUCAUUUUUAAAAAUGGAAAACCUUUUGCUUAAAAUGGAAUCUAUGGGCGAUAACCUUCCUGCAGUUUGGAGCUUUCUGGAUAAGGGAUCCCGUACCAGCCAACAACCUGUCCUAACCAUAAACUAACUUUCUGUCAGGUUAAGGAAACAACAAGAAAAUAACGACUGCUUUUUGGAAGAAUGUUUUGUUUUUUUUCAGUAAAGAUAUACAACUUGGCUUUGGUUGUGUCCAAGACUGUAUUAAGGCCCUUGGCAUUCUGCAUCUAAAUGGGUUAAUUUGUCAGAGUAUAAAGCACCUACUCCGCUUCCAAAUUCCUUCUUAAUGGCUCAGAGCCUCGCCAUCUCCAUUUUGUUUGUGGGUGCUGAGGUCUAAUAGGGUGUCUCAUACAAUUAUCACUACAUUGGCACAUCCCACUUGGUUAUUUGCUAUCUAGGUUUUCAUACCCGUCCAGAAAAGCACUGGUUUUAAGGAAUCCUGGUUACCGGAAUUGUGUGCCUUCUCUCCCCCCGAAUGAUUGUGUGCCGAUAUCUGCCCAGCUUGCCUGCAUCCCGAAGACAGCGUUUGUAUAAAUGAGCAAUAAUGGAGAGCGGGUGCCAGGCAUUCCUUGGAAGAGCCUCCCCCAGCGGGAAUAUCGCACACAUUAUUAUUGCAUUGCACAGAGACAUAUCUUAGGCCCUUUAAUAUUUUUGUAAAGUAAUUUUAAGGACAAAAAUACCUUUCCUAUUGGGGCCGAUCAAUGGAUGUGGACUAAACCGGAGUCGCUAAAGAUCUGCAGCUGUAAUACGAUGGAGAUUCCGCUGGAUCCUGUAUAUGUGCAAAGGGACAAUUGAUGGUGAUUGGAACAAAACAAAUCCAAUGAAAACUAUUUUUGUAUCAUUUUUGUGCAAAGUAAAUUUUCUUGUAAUUUAAACAUAAUAAACGUUUUUUAUUUAA